GUUUUUGUUUUCUUUCUAAAAAAAUGCAUUUUUGUUGAAAGUUUUAGGCUAUAGAAUAAUUUGAGGUUGGUUUGUAGAGACUUGGAAAAAGUUCACAAGAUCGGUAUCGUUUUAACACCUUAAAUCUCCUGAAUAUGAAAAUCAUUUUGAAUACUUGUUAUGACAUAACCUUGAGUUCUCAUUUUUCUUAUAGCUCUUGAGUAGUUUAU
RNAcentral lists this long non-coding RNA (209 nucleotides) under Lathyrus oleraceus (garden pea). RNAcentral's name for it is "Pisum sativum (pea) long non-coding RNA (PSAT_LNC041346)". The record is from RNAcentral. Lineage: Eukaryota; Viridiplantae; Streptophyta; Magnoliopsida; Fabales; Fabaceae.